GUGGGUGUAGCUCAGUUGGUUAGAGCGCAGGAUUGUGGCUCCUGAGGUCGAGGGUUCGACCCCCUCUACUCACCCCA
RNAcentral lists this transfer RNA (77 nucleotides) under Pseudomonadota bacterium. RNAcentral's name for it is "Proteobacteria bacterium (sediment metagenome) tRNA-His". It matches the Rfam family "tRNA". Rfam says of the family: Transfer RNA (tRNA) molecules are approximately 80 nucleotides in length. Their secondary structure includes four short double-helical elements and three loops (D, anti-codon, and T loops). Further hydrogen bonds mediate the characteristic L-shaped molecular structure. tRNAs have two regions of fundamental functional importance: the anti-codon, which is responsible for specific mRNA codon recognition, and the 3' end, to which the tRNAs corresponding amino acid is attached (by aminoacyl-tRNA synthetases). tRNAs cope with the degeneracy of the genetic code in two manners: having more than one tRNA (with a specific anti-codon) for a particular amino acid; and 'wobble' base-pairing, i.e. permitting non-standard base-pairing at the 3rd anti-codon position. RNAcentral also lists the same sequence under 1 other name. Lineage: Bacteria; Pseudomonadati; Pseudomonadota. The record is from RNAcentral.